UACGAAGGGGGCUAGCGUUGCUCGGAAUCACUGGGCGUAAAGCGCACGUAGGCGGAUCUUUAAGUCAGGGGUGAAAUCCUGGAGCUCAACUCCAGAACUGCCUUUGAUACUGGGGAUCUCGAGUCCGGAAGAGGUGAGUGGAACUCCGAGUGUAGAGGUGAAAUUCGUAGAUAUCGUGAGGAAGACCAGUGGCGAAGGCGGAUCUCUGGACAGUUCCUGACGCUGAGGCGCGAAGGCCAGGGGAGCAAACGGG
RNAcentral lists this ribosomal RNA (253 nucleotides) under uncultured bacterium. RNAcentral's name for it is "partial 16S ribosomal RNA". It matches the Rfam family "Bacterial small subunit ribosomal RNA", at positions 524 to 776 of the family's 1533-position model. The record is from RNAcentral.